AACGAACGCUGGCGGCAUGCCUAACACAUGCAAGUCGAACGAGACCUUCGGGUCUAGUGGCGCAGGGGUGCGUAACGCGUGGGAACCUGCCCUUCGCUUCGGAAUCACUCCCCGAACGGGGUGCUAAUACCGGAUAAUGUUUUCUGACACAGGAUAUACCGCCUUUGGAUGGGGCUGCGUUGGAUUAGCUAGUUGGUAGGGUAAAAGCUUACCUAGGCGACGAUCCAUAGCUGGUCUGAGAGGAUGAUAAGCCACACUGGGACUGAGACACGGCCCAGACUCCUACGGGAGGCAGCAGUGGAGGAUAUUGGACAAGGGGCGAAAGGCUGAACGAGCAAUGCCGCGUGGGUGAUGAAGGUCGUAGGGUUGGAAAGCUCUUUUACCCGGGAUGUGAGUGACAGUAACGGGGAAAUGAGCCCCGGCUAAAUCCGUG
RNAcentral lists this ribosomal RNA (433 nucleotides) under uncultured bacterium. RNAcentral's name for it is "partial 16S ribosomal RNA". It matches the Rfam family "Bacterial small subunit ribosomal RNA", at positions 29 to 507 of the family's 1533-position model. The record is from RNAcentral.